AGUGAACGCUGGCGGUAGGCCUAACACAUGCAAGUCGAACGGCAGCACAGUAAGAGCUUGCUCUUACGGGUGGCGAGUGGCGGACGGGUGAGGAAUACAUCGGAAUCUACUUUUUCGUGGGGGAUAACGUAGGGAAACUUACGCUAAUACCGCAUACGACCUACGGGUGAAAGCAGGGGAUCUUCGGACCUUGCGCGAUUGAAUGAGACGAUGUCGGAUUAGCUAGUUGGCGGGGUAAAGGCCCACCAAGGCGACGAUCCGUAGCUGGUCUGAGAGGAUGAUCAGCCACACUGGAACUGAGACACGGUCCAGACUCCUACGGGAGGCAGCAGUGGGGAAUAUUGGACAAUGGGCGCAAGCCUGAUCCAGCCGUACCGCGUGGGUGAAGAAGGCCUUCGGGUUGUAAAGCCCUUUUGUUGGGAAAGAAAAGCAGCAGGUUAAUACCCCGCUGUUCUGACGGUACCCAAAGAAUAAGCACCGGCUAACUUCGUG
RNAcentral lists this ribosomal RNA (492 nucleotides) under uncultured bacterium. Its description in RNAcentral is "partial 16S ribosomal RNA". It matches the Rfam family "Bacterial small subunit ribosomal RNA", at positions 29 to 507 of the family's 1533-position model. The record is from RNAcentral.